GGCCGCGGUAUUCUAACCGUGCAAAGGUAGCGUAAUCACUUGUCUUCUAAAUAAAGACUAGUAUGAACGGCUAAAUGAGGACAGGCCUGUCUCCUACACCCAAUCAGUGAAACUGAUCUUCCAGUACAAAAGCUGGAAUAUACACAUUAGACGAGAAGACCCUGUGGAGCUUUAAACCAACUAUUAAAAAGCACACUGCGGCACCUAAUACACGGUUUUAAGUUGGGGCGACUUCGGAAAAAAACAAAACUUCCAAGCACAGAACCAAAAAUUCUAACAAUGGCCAACAAGCCAAAGUUUAAACAACAAGACCCAGUACCACUGAGCAACGAACCAAGUUACCCCAGGGAUAACAGCGCUAUCUUCUUCAAGAGUCCAUAUCGACAAGAAGGUUUACGACCUCGAUGUUGGAUCAGGACACCCAAAUGGUGCAGCCGCUAUUAAUGGUUCGUUUGUUCAACGAUUAACAGUCCU
This 474-nucleotide ribosomal RNA is filed under the name Madascincus miafina. RNAcentral's name for it is "partial 16S ribosomal RNA". It matches the Rfam family "Bacterial large subunit ribosomal RNA", at positions 1929 to 2597 of the family's 2925-position model. Lineage: Eukaryota; Metazoa; Chordata; Lepidosauria; Squamata; Scincidae. The record is from RNAcentral.